GUAUUUGCAGGAUCGCCAUUUAUCAUGCGAGGAAACAAUUAUAUUUAGGCAUUCAGCGCAUCAUACAGAGUGCACUUCUCGAUCACUUAAUUACCCUGUCACUCCCCUAAUUACGCACGCACACGCUUAUAUCAGCGGCAGUUCUUUUUUCUUUUGCAGUAUUGUGUGUUUGUAAAGUCUGGCCAGAGCCACCGACCGGCAGCAGCUAACGGUCGAUCAGUAGUACUUCCUCCAGUCGUCGGCCAUGCGCUCGCGCCGGAACCGCUCCUGCACCCUCGAUAUGUACAGCGCAGCGCGGCGGUCCACGUCGGCGUCGCCGCC
This 321-nucleotide long non-coding RNA is filed under the name Panicum hallii. RNAcentral's name for it is "long non-coding RNA (PHAL_LNC000717)". The record is from RNAcentral. Lineage: Eukaryota; Viridiplantae; Streptophyta; Magnoliopsida; Poales; Poaceae.